GGCUACAGCCAUAUCACCCUGCAGCCCAAGACUGGUUGCCCGCUGAAGCUAAGCAGGGUUGAGGCUGGUCAGUACCUGGAUGGGAGACCUCCUGGGAAAACUAGGUUGCUGUUGGAA
Molecule: ribosomal RNA, 117 nt
Filed under: Sinocyclocheilus grahami
Lineage: Eukaryota; Metazoa; Chordata; Actinopteri; Cypriniformes; Cyprinidae
Source: RNAcentral